RNAcentral lists this ribosomal RNA (158 nucleotides) under Hypocreales sp. MUT 5273. Its description in RNAcentral is "5.8S ribosomal RNA". It matches the Rfam family "5.8S ribosomal RNA". From Rfam's summary of the family: 5.8S ribosomal RNA (5.8S rRNA) is a component of the large subunit of the eukaryotic ribosome. The record is from RNAcentral. Lineage: Eukaryota; Fungi; Ascomycota; Sordariomycetes; Hypocreales.
AAACCUUUAACAACGGAUCUCUUGGCUCUGGCAUCGAUGAAGAACGCAGCGAAAUGCGAAAAGUAAUGUGAAUUGCAGAAUUCAGUGAAUCAUCGAAUCUUUGAACGCACAUUGCGCCCGCUGGUACUCCGGCGGGCAUGCCUGUCCGAGCGUCAUUU